RNAcentral lists this ribosomal RNA (255 nucleotides) under uncultured bacterium. RNAcentral's name for it is "partial small subunit ribosomal RNA". It matches the Rfam family "Bacterial small subunit ribosomal RNA", at positions 26 to 286 of the family's 1533-position model. The record is from RNAcentral.
AGGACGAACGCUGGCGGCGUGCUUAACACAUGCAAGUCGAGCGGAAAGGCCCUUCGGGGUACUCGAGCGGCGAACAGGUGAGUAACACGUGAGCAACCUGCCCUUAGCUUCGGGAUAGCUCCGGGAAACCGGAAUUAAUACCGAAUAUGACUUUGGCUGACAUCAGCAGAAGUGGAAAGUUUUUCGGCUAGGGAUGGACUCGCGGCCUAUCAGCUAGUUGGUGAGGUAACGGCCCACCAAGGCGACGACGGGUAG